CCCGGUGUGUGGUGAAAGGAGAGCCGACGGUGUGAGCUGGUUCUGCGGGGGUGCAGCCAGGAUACAUUCCAUAAUGCAACAGCCUACCAAUGUGCUUAAACUGAUAACCAGCCUACAGCAGCCGUCCUAUCAGACACUCAGAGAACCAGCCUUGCCAAUUCCCCAGUCCGUUGUCUCGUAUCAGGUUUGGGCUUUACUGGAUUAUGACUUUGGCAAAUAGUGGUAAUAUCUUGGCUCUUAAUCGUUUUAGUUUGGUAGACGUGCUGUGAAUUUCCAAUAAAGUAAUUAAAACAGGCACUAUCCCCCACAAAACCUGCUAACUAGAACAUUGAGUUGGACAUACGUUUAACAAUCGAGUUCUUCCUAACUUGUGUUGUAAUUUCUUUUUUUUUAAUCAACAAAGAGUGAGAAAUUAUGUUGUGAACAUUGCAGGGGGAAAGAGCUUAACAAAAGAAAAUACGUUGAAUUAAUUCCCUUGUAGCUCUGGUUCGGUAAUAGGCUUACUGCAUGGCUACGUGCUUUUUAGACAGGAGGUUACCACGCUUUACUGGCAGUUACCCCUGCAGUUCUGGGGGUGGAGGUUACUGUGAAAGAGUGGGCAAACUAGCCAAUCUUUCAGCAUAUUUAAAUAAAACAUGUAUUGAAUUCAACAUCUCAAAAGUCACAUAGAAUUUGAAAUGAAUCCAAUACAGAGGGUAAAAGAGUUGAAGCUUUCAGAGAAUAUGUACUGUAUAAGUGUUUGCACGUCAAUGUGAAUACUGCAGCAUACUGUGAGUUAUUUUCUGCAAAGUUACAUUUUUGCAAAUGACAGUUGAAGAUUUAAGCUGGAUUCCCCAGAAAUAUUUAACACAGCAUAUUUUAGGAUGUACAUCCCUGGGAAUGUGGUCUUUGCUGUAUAAGCAAAAACACCUUCACAUCUCUCAAGUGCACCUUAUGUUUGCUGAGAUACAGUUGCAAAGCUUGAAUUUGAGAUGUGCAUGAAGAGCAAAUAGGUAGACUGCAUAGUAGGCAGGAAGUCUCUUUAUCUAAUGUUCCGCACCUUUUCUUACCUACCUUUGAGGACAGCAUGGCUUUUACUUGGAAGAGGAGAACCAUGCUGAACAGAAAAGAGGCAGUGAAUUCUGAGGCUGUCUGCCCCCACAGACUCACAGGGAAAUCAUUUCCACUCCUAAAGCGUGAGCAGAGACAGACGUUUCAGAAAGAUUCAGCUCAGUGUGGAGUAGUGCAGGUCAGCACAGUAUUCAGCCAGGAUUCCCCAGAGAGGGGAGAUUCUGCCCGCAGCACACGUCUAUGGGCUGUAUCCAAUCAGCUGUCUCCCAGAGAGGGGAGAUUCUGUCCCCCAGCACACGUCUAUGGGC
This is a long non-coding RNA of Anguilla anguilla (European eel), 1358 nucleotides long. RefSeq lists it as uncharacterized. The transcript is spliced from 3 exons. The record is from RefSeq and is a predicted model, not a curated record. NCBI's taxonomy places the organism in Eukaryota, Metazoa, Chordata, Actinopteri, Anguilliformes, Anguillidae.